RNAcentral lists this ribosomal RNA (456 nucleotides) under uncultured bacterium. RNAcentral's name for it is "bacterial SSU rRNA". It matches the Rfam family "Bacterial small subunit ribosomal RNA", at positions 340 to 786 of the family's 1533-position model. The record is from RNAcentral.
UACGGGAGGCAGCAGUGGGGAAUAUUGCACAAUGGGCGCAAGCCUGAUGCAGCCAUGCCGCGUGUAUGAAAAAGGCCUUCGGGUUGUAAAGUACUUUCAGUCGUGAGGAAGGUGUUAAGGUUAAUAACCUUAGCAAUUGACGUUAGCGACAGAAGAAGCACCGGCUAACUCCGUGCCAGCAGCCGCGGUAAUACGGAGGGUGCGAGCGUUAAUCGGAAUUACUGGGCGUAAAGGGCACGCAGGCGGUUAAUUAAGUUGGAUGUGAAAUCCCCGGGCUUAACCUGGGAAUGGCAUUCAAGACUGGUUAGCUAGAGUCUUGUAGAGGGGGUAGAAUUCCAUGUGUAGCGGUGAAAUGCGUAGAGAUGUGGAGGAAUACCGGUGGCGAAAGGCGGCCCCUGGACAAAGACUGACGCUCAUGUGCGAAAAGCGUGGGGAGCAAAACAGGGAUUAGAUACC